UACGUAGGGUGCAAGCGUUGUCCGGAUUUAUUGGGCGUAAAGAGCUCGUAGGCGGUUUGUCGCGUCGGAUGUGAAAACCCAGGGCUCAACCCUGGGCCUGCAUUCGAUACGGGCAGACUAGAGUGUGGCAGGGGAGACUGGAAUUCCUGGUGUAGCGGUGAAAUGCGCAGAUAUCAGGAGGAACACCGGUGGCGAAGGCGGGUCUCUGGGCCAAUACUGACGCUGAGGAGCGAAAGCGUGGGGAGCGAACAGG
RNAcentral lists this ribosomal RNA (253 nucleotides) under uncultured bacterium. RNAcentral describes it as "partial 16S ribosomal RNA". It matches the Rfam family "Bacterial small subunit ribosomal RNA", at positions 524 to 776 of the family's 1533-position model. The record is from RNAcentral.